Cervus elaphus (red deer) is the source of this 141-nucleotide long non-coding RNA. RefSeq lists it as uncharacterized. Lineage: Eukaryota; Metazoa; Chordata; Mammalia; Artiodactyla; Cervidae. The transcript is spliced from 3 exons. The record is from RefSeq and is a predicted model, not a curated record.
CUCCAGGCCAGAAUACUGGAGCGGGUUGCCAUUUCCUCCUCCAGGGGAUCUUCCGACCCAGGAAUCGAACCCAGGUCUCCUACAUUGCAGGCAGACUCUCUACCAACUAAGCUACGAGGGAAGCUUUCUAAGCCAACUCAU